UACGGAGGAUGCGAGCGUUAUCCGGAUUUAUUGGGUUUAAAGGGUGCGUAGGCGGCGAGUUAAGUCAGCGGUAAAAGCCCGGGGCUCAACUCCGGGACUGCUUUUGAAACUGUGUUGCUAGAUUGCAGGAGAGGUAAGUGGAAUUCCUAGUGUAGCGGUGAAAUGCGUAGAUAUUAGGAGGAACACCAGUGGCGAAGGCGGCUUACUGGACUGUAAAUGACGCUGAGGCUCGAAAGCGUGGGGAGCAAACAGG
RNAcentral lists this ribosomal RNA (253 nucleotides) under uncultured Coprococcus sp. RNAcentral describes it as "partial 16S ribosomal RNA". It matches the Rfam family "Bacterial small subunit ribosomal RNA", at positions 524 to 776 of the family's 1533-position model. The record is from RNAcentral. Lineage: Bacteria; Bacillati; Bacillota; Clostridia; Lachnospirales; Lachnospiraceae.